UAUUUUUUCGAUUUCGUAAAA
Molecule: non-coding RNA, 21 nt
Filed under: Caenorhabditis elegans
Lineage: Eukaryota; Metazoa; Nematoda; Chromadorea; Rhabditida; Rhabditidae
Source: RNAcentral